CAGCAGCCACGGUAAUACGAAGGGUGCAAGCGUUAAUCGGAAUUACUGGGCGUAAAGCGUGCGUAGGCGGUUUGUUAAGUCUGCUGUGAAAUCCCCGGGCUCAACCUGGGAAUGGCAGUGGAUACUGGCAAGCUAGAGUGUGUCAGAGGAUGGUGGAAUUCCCGGUGUAGCGGUGAAAUGCGUAGAGAUCGGGAGGAACAUCAGUGGCGAAGGCGGCCAUCUGGGACAACACUGAUGCUGAGGCACGAAAGCGUGGGGAGCAAACAGGAUUAGAUACCCCUGUAGUCCCUGUCUCUUAUAC
RNAcentral lists this ribosomal RNA (301 nucleotides) under uncultured bacterium. RNAcentral describes it as "partial 16S ribosomal RNA". It matches the Rfam family "Bacterial small subunit ribosomal RNA", at positions 509 to 807 of the family's 1533-position model. The record is from RNAcentral.